Molecule: transfer RNA, 67 nt
Filed under: Antheraea pernyi (Chinese oak silkmoth)
Lineage: Eukaryota; Metazoa; Arthropoda; Insecta; Lepidoptera; Saturniidae
Description: tRNA-Val
Source: RNAcentral
UCAAAUUAGACCUUGAAUUAAGUAUUUCAUUUACAUUGAAAGGAUAUUAAUAUAAUUAAUUAAUUUG